UGCGGUUAUACAAAAAUUAAAUUAAAUUUUUUUAGGUAUUAAUAAAUAAAUUUAUAGAAAAUAACUUAAAUUUAAAAUUAUAAAGUGAAAUUUUAAUUUAAAUAAAAUUUAUUUAUUUUUGUGAUAUUAAUAAAUUUUAUAAAAAACUAGGAUUAGAUACCCUAUUAUAAAAAUUUAAAUUUAAUAAUCUUAAAAUAGUAUAUAAUUUUUUAUAGAAACUUAAAUAAUUUGGCGGUAUUUUAGUUCAUUUAGAGGAAUCUGUCUAAUAAUUGAUAAUCCACGAUAAAAUUUACUUAAUUUUUAAUUUUGUAUAUCGUUGUUAAAAAAAUAUUUUUAAAUGAUUAUAAUAUUUUAAAAUUUGAAUAAAAAUUUAAAUCAGAUCAAGAUGCAGAUUAUAAUUAAGAAUAUGAUGGAUUACAAUAAAUUUUAUUUUAUUUGAAUAUUAAUUUGAAAUAAAUUAAUUGAAAUUGGAUUUAAAUGUAAUUUUAUUAAUUUUGUUAAAAUGAUUAAAAAUUAAAAUAUGUACAUAUUGCCCGUCGCUUUCAUUUAUAAAUUGAAAUAAGUCGUAACAAAGUAGAGGUACUGGAAAGUGUUUCUAGAAAGAU
This 605-nucleotide ribosomal RNA is filed under the name Zygaena dorycnii dorycnii. RNAcentral describes it as "partial 12S ribosomal RNA". The record is from RNAcentral. Lineage: Eukaryota; Metazoa; Arthropoda; Insecta; Lepidoptera; Zygaenidae.